GUUCUGACAAACUGCUCAGUAAGCCUCAGUGAAGCUAUGUGGAACCGACAAGAGGGGAAUCAUCAGUUUUUUACAGGUUUUAUCUUUUCCUUAAUUUUGACCUCAUCUUCAUUUGCUGUAGAUCAGCUCAGGUUGGCAGGUCCUGGAUCGACUCAGUGCUCUGGAAGAGUUGAAGUCCACCACAAGAAUACCUGGGGAACGGUCUGUGAUGACGGCUGGGGCAAAGAUGACGCUGAAGUGGUUUGUCGAGAGCUGGGCUGUGGUCCGGCCCUCAGCGCACCAUCUUCUGCUCAUUUUGGUCAAGGAACUGGUCAAAUCUGGCUUGAUGAUGUGAACUGUUUAGGCAAUGAA
This is a long non-coding RNA of Fundulus heteroclitus (mummichog), 351 nucleotides long. RefSeq lists it as uncharacterized. The record is from RefSeq and is a predicted model, not a curated record. NCBI's taxonomy places the organism in Eukaryota, Metazoa, Chordata, Actinopteri, Cyprinodontiformes, Fundulidae. The transcript has 3 exons.